AAACUUAUCUGUCAAUGUUUAAUUGCAUCUCCCUUAGUUACCAAAAUAUAAUAGAUCUAAGAGAAAAAACCUACCCCCUGCACCCAACCCUCCCCUAUUUCAUCUUCUUCAUAAUUUCUUCCCCAAAAAUUCAUUGAAGAAGAAAAAAGAAGUAGAUUAGAUAAUGAAAUAGGAAAGGGAAACAACAAAUGCAGUAGGAUUGAAUCUGAAGAAAUAAAAAAAAAAAAAGAUAGCGAAUGGUGAUUGGGAGUCAAAAAAGGAGAUUAAAUUGGUGGUUUUUUAUCAUGUAGCCAAUAUUAUGGUGUAACCAUAGAGAAGAAAUGUAUUAAGAGGCUACAAAAUUGGCUGUGAGAGACGGUGAUCUAUCAUCGUUGAAAGGUGGUGGUAGCUUUUGGAUGAUGGAAGCAGUCGGUGGAUUCUCAAAAGUUAUACUAAUAAUAUGUGAACAUUGAAGAGGUUUUCAUUAUGCAUUAUGUGUGUGAUGGAUGUAACUUCUUUCUAAAAGAUUCAAUUACAGAAUGUGGUUUUCAUGUAGAAAGGAAUUUAGAAAGACUACUUGGAGGGGAGAAGGAAAAGCUUUUCUUUUUUGUUGAAUUUUAUUUUCCAUUAAAGUUGAAAAAUUAUUUUCUUUUGUUAUUUUGGAUAACCAUGUAAACAGUAUCAUUAACAAUCCAAAAUUGAUACACUUAAAAAGCAUUCAUCUCCAAGACCACUUUUCAAAAAGAGGGGCCCAUAUGGUUGCGGAUCACUUGGCGAAAUUGGCCAACGAAUAGUCAAGUUCUCUACUCUUUUUAGUAUUUGGAUUUUAGUGUAGGGUAUAUUAUUAAUCAUAUGAAAUCCUACUUCCAUCCAUUAGACUCGGAUAUAACAACGCAAAUUUUUUUAUAAGCUAAUUUACUUGUUUAUGGAUGUGCAGGGGCUAGCCUGUAGAUUUUAAUUUCCUAAGCCUCCUUUUACAAAGGAUAAAUUCUUUAUCAUUGUGUUGUAU
This 988-nucleotide long non-coding RNA is filed under the name Capsicum annuum. RNAcentral's name for it is "long non-coding RNA (CANN_LNC017516)". The record is from RNAcentral. Lineage: Eukaryota; Viridiplantae; Streptophyta; Magnoliopsida; Solanales; Solanaceae.